Molecule: long non-coding RNA, 11432 nt
Organism: Monomorium pharaonis (pharaoh ant)
Lineage: Eukaryota; Metazoa; Arthropoda; Insecta; Hymenoptera; Formicidae
Exons: 2
Source: RefSeq, a predicted model, not a curated record
AAAAUUUUAGGUAAUUAUUUACAAUUGGUACUUUUCCGAAUUUUGAAAUUUUUUCAUAACUUUCUUGGUAAACUUUGUUGUGACUCCGACAACGAUAAUCAAUCGGGGGAGCCCAAAAAAUAUGUAACCUACUAAUUUUUUUGCCAUUUUUUCGAAAUAAUUUGGUAAUUAUUUACAUUAGCAAUUCUUCACCGAUUUUGAUGACCUUCAAAUAUGUUGUCAAGGCCAUCAUUCUGAACAACUUUUCCCUAUACAUGUUACCGCCGCUCGGUAUUAGUUUUUGAGUUAUACACAAAAAAUUAUUAAAACAAAAGUUUAAUAAAUACCAUAUAUAUGUUAUGGUCAAAUCCCGUGGCGCGGACGUUCCUAAAAUUGACUGGUCAUCUCGUUUAGCGUGGAAAGUCGCAAACCUCCCCUGCCCAUGCGUUCUUUGCUGUACCAGACUGGGGUAGAAGUCGCUACAAUCGUUUGUUUCCACAUUGUUCUGCCGGUAGGACUGCUUUAAACAGAAGCGCCUAUUUUUUUCGAAGAAGAGCGAGGGAUAGUACGCGACGAACAAAAUCAUAACAUUGUCUAUGACCGAAGACCCCCCUUGCCCCCCCUCUCAUAUGUGUGUCGUCAUACGAAUACGUUGAACAUACGAAAAUUAUUUCGAAAAAAUAGCAAAAAAAAUUAGUAGGUUAUAUAUUUUUCGGGCUCCCCCGAUUGAUUAUCGUUGUCGGAGUCACAACAAAGCUGUUUACCAAGAAAGUUAUAAAAAAAUAUCAAAAUUCGGAAAAGUACCAAUUGUAAAUAAUUACCAAAUUUUAAUUGUAUUUUUUUUAUAGAUUUUACAUAUUUUACAUAUUUCCUAAGAUGUUUCUUAAUUUAAAAAAAAGUUAUUCUACCUCACUUGAAUUUACUGGCUCAGCUAAGAAAAUCUGACAGGCAUAUAAAAGCAAACAGAAAUAAGAUUACUGAUAGGUAUAAUAUAAACUCUUACAUCUAUUUUAAAUUGAUGUAUAUAAAGUAAUGAUAUGUAACGUCCUUGUUGGUCAUGAAAUAUAUUAAAGUCAUCUACUUUUAUUAUUUCUUUUAAUAUUGCGUAAUAUCUAUUUUCGCAUUCACAAUUGUAAUUCUCACAGGUUUUUGCUAAAAACCCUUGUAAAAGAAAAUAUAGAUCCAAAAUUUUUUUCAUUAUUUAUAUAAUGUGAAACAAAAGAUGAUAUUGUUUGCAAAUCUUUUGAAUAGCUUUCAGCAACAUACAAUAAUCCAUCUUUCAGAAGCCUGUAAAAGAUUUGAAUUUUCUCGUAUAUCAUAUCAGAAACUUGCAAACUGUGGACUAUAAGUUCUUGGCCAUUAAUAUGAUUUACGUAAGAACCUACGACUAAACAAUAAUUAUUAAUUUUAUCACAUAUUUUUAAGUACUUUCUCUUCUUACGGAGGCAGAAAUCUUUAAUUGUGCUUUCUGGUAAAGAUUGUAAUUUCUUUGAUGCGCACAGAUAUAUCAAAUGAAGUUUAGAAACCUGAGUGUCAACAUAUUUUGUACCGGUGUAACGAACCACGUUACUAGUGGCUGACAACGAUCGCGCGGCCCGGCCGACCAUCCGCCGGGCCGAAUAUCGGGCAAGCGUGCCCAUGAUAAGAACUCCACACCAUCGUGAUGACGCGCAUCUCGGGGGGGGGGGGGGCAUACAGCCUCUCUCCUCUCGAGCUAGCAUCCCGAUCUGCGUCACCGAGAGGAGGCCAAGAACCGCCGAAGAUUUCCGAACGGCUGCCGGGGACCAUAUAUAAGGUUGCCCGGCAGCCGUAGAGUUCACUUCUCGUUAUCCUGUCCGACUCGUUCCAAUGAGAAGCCUGAAACCUUACGAGCCAGAAAAACGGUGGAGUGUUCUCCGUCAUCGCCAAGAGUUCUCGGCUUAGCUCGAUUCUUUUCCUUCCUCGCUAGCAAACCACGGGGGUAGAGCGUACUCUGUCUCCGCCGAGAGCUCUCGGCAGCUAGCUAAAAUCGUCACCGACGACAUCCUCACGGCCCGGUAACCGACACGGAGUGUUCUCCGUCUCCCCUCAAGCGUUCUCGGGGCCGACGCCGUUCCCUGAAGACUCACCACGCUUCACGGGAUUGACGAGGCAAUUCGGGGAAACAUCGGAAACGCGAGACAUACGUGUUCUCACCGCGCGCCCGCCGGUCACCAAACAUCCAAGACCGAGCGUAACGUCCCGCGCCGCACACCCGCCGACCAUCGAACUCGAGCGCGAGACGCGUACCGCCCCCCGCACCGCGCACCGCAGUCAUCUCACCGGGCCGAACAGCUGAUCGGCUAGCGAUCACGCGCCCCGUCACUGAUCAUUGUAAAUACCGCUGUACAUAACGCGCAACCAGAUUUUGUAAGAUUCGUCAUCCGCUGUACAUAUUCGCGAACUGUAUAUAAUAGAAAUUAAGUAAUAAAAUUGUACCGAUCAACAAUCGCCACGUUUUGCUAUCUCUGAACCCUUUUUCGCCCUAGCCCUUUUCCCGACGAGCUAAAAAGUCCGCAUGAAAAACGGUCGUUACACCAUGAAUCGUUACACCAUGAAUAUUCUGCAAAAUUUGACCAUUCAAAUCUUCAAGAGGGAAACAUGUAUAUGCCCAUAAUGGGUUAAUUCGCGUACACAUCUGCCAAAUGAAGAAGAAAAUGUAUGUUAAUUGAACAAAACUCAAUGCCAUAUAGCUGCUCAAAGUCUUGUACAAAUUGCUUAGAAAUUCUUUUGCUGUGUCAAUCAUUUCAUUAGAUAUACUUGAGGCAUUUAAAUAAGACAACGCUAUCACAAGUUUUAAGUAAUGUUUAAAAUAUUCUAUUCGCAAAAAUUGCUUUAGAAUAGGUAUUGAAUAAUAGAUAAACCAUGUUUUCAGUUCCGAAACUUUUCAAAAUGCCAUCUCUUCGAGACUUCUAAUCAUUCGAUGAACAAAUUGUGGAGGGUGUAAACUAAGCAAUAACUCAUCAACUGCUGGCAAAAGUGGCCUAAUAGAAAAUAGAUAUUCACUAUAUUUAGAAUCAAAGUGCAAAGUUAUAAGCUUUUUAAAAGUACCAGACAAAAUGUGCAUCAGAUCAAUACCCAUGCCUUUUACAAAAUUUGGCACAAUAAGUCUUAAAGCAGUUUGACUUUUCACACUAAAUGCAACUUCACCUGUUCUGAGAGCUUCUCUUGCAUGGCUAUUCAUACUUUCAAGAGUUCUUUCAUUAAAAUGCUCUGCAUAUCUAUAACAAAACUUAUGUGAUCCAUCAGAAAAAUAUACAGUUUCGCCAGUAAAUUCGCAUACUGGACAUCCAUAUUUUUUAUUAAAAGAUUUUAUUUUAAUAAAUGUGGAUUUAGCUGGUAGAUCGCAAGUACCUAACAAUAAUUUUUCUUUAAUAUUUACUGGUUUUCUUCUAUGAGGAAUCUGCACAUUAAAAUCAUCAGUAUAAAUUUUACGAAAAUCUUCAACAUAAGAAUAAAGAAAACUAUUUGGAUCUGGUUUAUCGAUCAAACCAUAGACCAGCUAAAACAACAUUCUCACGUAUGUGUCUUACUUUAUAUGGAAGUGGAUUUAUAAUAAGAUAAAGAGGCCAAAUACUGAAUGUCUUCGAUUUUAAUACAGGCACCCCAUCACUAUUCCACAGAAAAGAAAUAUUAGAAUUAGAAAGGAAGCCCCUAACUUCUUCUUGACAAAGUAAACCAUCAAUUUAUUAUCGUCUUCUAUAUUAUCAAUCGACAUUUUUUUUCUUGUAAAUAUUGUAAAUAUUCUCUAUAUUGUAGACUCUCAUAUUUACCUGCCGCUCCAAAAUUUGUUUUAAUUGUACUAUAAUGUUUAACUUUAUAAAAUAAGAUCUUCUGUUACUUUCUUGACACUCCGAGCGUACAUCAUAAUUUUGAUUUAAAACUGACAUACAAUUUGAGCAAUAAUAAAUUUUAGUUACAGGAGCAUUUGAAAAUAAAAGAUAUUGACGAAAACGAUAUAAACUUAAUUUCUUCAAUCCUUGAGCAAUACAAUGCAAAUGUAAUACAUACAAUAAGUCAGCAACACAUGAUCCUGUUAAAUUAUAAAAUCAUAUUUAAAAUCAGUGUUAGAAUCAAAGCCAUACUUUCAGUAACAGUUAUUGAUGCACCAUUGUAGAGAGGAUGAUUAUUAUCAUUUUCAUCAUUUCGAAUUUCAUCAUCGAAUAUAUUAUCCUGCAAAUCUUCAAGUGGAUCUUCAAGAGAGUUGUUAUCAACUUCACCUUCUUCAUCCUGGUCUGAACUGUCGGAAACAAUAUUCUGAUCGCUUGUUUUACUGUUAACAUCUUCGUGUUCACAUUCAUUUCUUUGAUUUCUUGAACUAUUUUCUUUAUACUCAUUUUGAGAUUCAUCACUUUCAGAGAAUCCAAUUUCUGAUAACAAAUAAAUGUGAUAAAAUACAAUUGAUUUCUAUAUAACGCAAGGGAUACUUCAUACACAUUAUACAAAAAUAAUUUUAUAUGUUGGGAUUAAUGUUUGAGAGGAAACGAACGAUACCUUUUCUUGUAAUUUUAAAUGUAUAAUUAUGAAACAAUAGAUUCGUGGUCCGCGACUUAUAAUGUUUUGUCCCCGACUCGCUUGCUCGCUCGCUCACUGCUGCGCACGCCACUCUUAUUGCCGCGCCACACACACAUACACACACAAACUCGCUAGCUUUCUCUAUCUUCUUACCGACCGAUUUAUCCGAUUUAUCAUCUCCACACUCGGCCAUUCUAUGGUGACAUUCGUCCCGAAUGUCUGAAGGUUGCUGGUCCCUUGAAAGAUCCUCUUCUUGUUCGUUUAAGUCUUCACUGGCGUGAUCGCUAUCGUAGUCUAGUCAAAGUUUGGUAGAAUCUGCUGCUGUAGAUGUCUCGGUUGGACCCUCAUGUUCUCCCACUUUACGUACUACGUAACGAUCAUUACAUAAAGCGCGGAUUAUUUGGUAAGGUCCUAGAUAUUGGUGAGAUAACUUGAGGCCUGGUCCUCGUUGUGUCCAACGAAUUGCUACUAGAUCAUCUUCUUUAUAUCUAGUUGCUUUCUUUCGUUUACGAUCGUAUUUUUUCUGACUUCCUCGUUGGAUUGUUUGAAGGUUCUCAUGCGCGAGUUCUCGAAGAUCAUUCCUUUCUUUGUCAAGUUCGUGACACAAUACUUCCGAAAGUAUUUCAGUAAGUUUAGGGUCAUCUUUUAGAUGUGGACACACGCCAAAUAGCAGUCUAAAAGGUGUAGUUUCCGUAGAUCGACUUGCUGUAGAAUUAAUGCAUUGUUGAGCUCGUGUCAAGUAUUUAAACCAUUCGUGUGGCUUAGGCGCAGCCAAUUUAGUUAGCAGAGGAAUAACUGUUCGAUUUAGCCUUUCAACUUGGUCGUUAGAUCUCGGGAUGCCCGUAGUUAUUAAAUGUCUCUGAAUGCUUUCUUGUUCACAAUAAUCCCCAAACUCAUGAGAAGUAAAGGCACUUCCGCGGUCUGAAAUAAUGCGACGGGGGUUAGCAAAAAUAGCCGCUUGUUUCUGCAAAUGUCCAAUUACUUCAUUGGCAUUAGUUGUCUUGGUGGGAUAUAGCCAGACAAACGUGAAUGCGUCGAUGACUGCUAGUGAAUGUCGAUAUUUCUUCUGGGUUGUCGGUAAAGAGCCCAUAUGAUCCACAUGGUAUGUAUCUAGUGGCAGGCUGCCUUUUUCUAUUAAGUUCAAGAAUCCUUGCUUAUCUUGCUUCUUUUCUGCCAGGAUGCAAGAUAUACAGUUUCGUAUAAUUUUUUAAAUUUUCUGUCGCAUGUUAGUCAUCCAGUAAUCUUGUUUUACUUGUAUUUGUUAGCAAGGCUUGUGUUUUGGCAAUUGAGAAGUGUCCUUUUUCACGAGCAAUCCUGAUAACUUGAGAUUGCAUCUUAAUUGGAAUUACUAAUCGUGGGUAUCAAUCUAUUUCUUUAAAUAAUAGAUUGCCUUGCGACGAAUAGUCUUUGGUUUUGCCUUGUUCAAUCAACUUAACAAUUCGUCGAAUCUCUAUGUCUUCGGCCUGCGCUUUUCGUAGUCUUGCUAAUGACCCCUUGUUGUAUUCUUUGACAUUUAGAGAGGCCGGAAGCGGAUGACGACUCAAGGCAUCCACAUGAGUCAUAUUUUUUCCAGAACGGUGCUCAAUUAAAUAAUUUUUCUAACAACAAAAUCUAGCGGGUACAGAGAGAUUCGCACAUAGAGAUUCUUCUUGUUGAUAGUAAGAGCGAAUGCCUGACAAUCAGUACGAUUGUAAAAGGAAUUCCGAGCAAGUAUAGCGAGCGAAACUUCGAGAGUGCCUUGACGACGGCCAAAACCUUCAGUUCAUAACUAGGAUAUUUUUCUUUGCGAGUAGUCUUGCCGCUUGCGUAGUACACCGGAUGCCACUUUUGGUCAAUUGGAUCUUGCUGCAACAAAAUGGCUCCAUAGCCCUAUUUCAAUGCGUCGGUCUGUAGUUCGGUUUUCGCUUUUACUCUAUACAAACUUAAAACGGGCUUUUCGCUUAACAGCGUUUUCAAUUGCACAAAUGUAUUUCUCUCACCUUCGCCAAAACGAAAUUCUACAUAAGAUCUUAACAGGUUAGUUAGUGGACGAGCGAUACACGCAUAAUUUUGAAUAAAUUUGUGAAAAUAACUGAUUCAUCCGACAUAUUUUUAAUUGAUUCAUGUUUGUGGGUUCAGAAAAGCAUCUAACUGCUUCUGUUUUACGAUCGGACGGUCGGAUAGUACCAUUCGCAACCACAUGUCCUAGAAAUUCGACUUCCGUUUGCAAAAAUACGCAUUUUUUCUAAUUUAUAACUCUGUCGCACUAGCAACUUGGAGUGCACACUCAAGCUUAUCUAUUCUGCUUUUUACAUCGUUUGCUGGGACGAUCGAGUCGUCUAUGUAUACGAGGACUACGCCUUUUUUAAUGAGAUCCUUGAAGACCGUAUUUAUAUAUUUUUGAAAUAUAUAAAUGGUUGAAUUACAUAAUCCAAACGGCGCACGCAAAAAUUCAUACAUUCCGUCGGGAAUUAUGAAUACUGUAUAUUUUCGGCUAGACUCUUCCACGGGCACAUGGAAAAAUCCAUUUUUUAGAUCUAAGGUACUAAAUAUCCCAGCACCUUGAAACGCAUCUAACUGGUCUUUAGAUCAACGGAACAGGGUAACGGUCUCUUACAAUUUUGCGAUUAAGAUUUCUAUAAUCAACGCAAACUCUAACUCCAUCUCUUUUCUUAACGAGGACUAUCGGACUCGCAUAUUCAGAGAUAGAUGCACUAUUUCAUCUUUGAUCCAUUUGUUCGUUAACCAACUUUCUUUCAGAUGCCGACAAACGCCUCGCCCUCUGAGAGACGGGUUUAUCGUCUUUAACUACAAUGGAUAUUUUGAGAUACACUUUCUUAGGAAUGUAAUCCGAUAUUAACUUCGUUAUCUAUUCUUUAUGCUCUCGAUUUGCUAAUGCAAAGAAAUCUGAUUAAGUAUCAUCCAGUGCUUGUAUAUUUAGUACCUCAGGGAUCUCUUCAAUUAUUGGGCUGAUACGCACUUUGCCACCUUUGAUAUUCAAUUCCACGUUUCUGAUGAAAUCGUUCCCGAGCAACAAAUCAUGUAAUGCUGAAUUAUCUGGAAUUAAAUAAACGUGGAUAGUAUAAGUGUAAUCAUCGACCUUUAACGUAGUCUUAACGGAACCUAACGUUUCAUUAUCCUUAGCACCAACGCCGCGGAAAACAAUAGAAUUCUGGUUCGGCGGAGGUAGAUCUAACUUGCGAUAUUUUGCUUUGUUCAAAAGACUUAUGUCACUGCCCAUAUCUAAAAGCGUACAUAGCUUCGUAUUACCUAAUAUAACCUCUUUGUUACAAUGUUAGUUUAUCGAUAACAAUUUCGCGCAGCUGCUUUUUACAAUUUCGUUUUUUGCGGUUUCGCUUUUUGUAGUCUUACUUUUCCUUGGGCAUUUUGAUGUCACGUGCCCUUGCUCGACACAUUUGAAGCAUUUCACGCCUUCUGACUUUGAUGGACACUCAGCUCCCACAUGAAAAUGCUCAUCAUAAUUAAACCAACGUGGCGGCUUUUGACGAUCUUUUCCUCGAUGACUUCCCUCGGAUCUCUGAUGACUCUCCGUCGUUUUUAGGUUGACAUUUCCCUUUCCUUGUUUAUUUGAACUGUUGCUUACUCUAUCGCUCAAUGAGAUUUUUUCGAAAACCUACAACAAGGUAUCUAUACUAUCGAACGACUGUAUGCGUGCCUGAUCACGCAAAUGUAUAUCAGGAAUGCCCUCUAUCACGUAUUCCAGAAUUUUGUUAUCUGGCACGAAGAUCUUAUUUCUUAGAAUAAUUUUGUCAUAAGCGUAUUCGCGAAUAGACUCGGUUUUAUUCCAUUUCCGCUUUUCGAAUUUUUCGCGCAACGCUAAUUUACUCUGAUGAAAUUGAAAUUGAAAUGAAUUUCGCCUUAGUUCUUUUAAAAGUUCAUCAAAGCUCAAUUUGAUAUGUUCCGGUUUAGAAUUGAACCAUUCGUUAGCUCUAUCUUUAAGUCGCAUACAUACUACAAUUUUUGUCGUAUUAUCAUCUAAACGAUAAGCUUCUUUCAAUAAUUUAACCUGUCUUUCCCACGUCUCGUAAUUAUUGGGUGUACCGUUAAAAGCUCUGAUUGUGAGUAAUUCCGCAAUACUUGCUACGUUGUUCCUCUAAGUGUAUGUGGUCUCUCGAAUACCGUCAUUUGUCCUCACAGGUUGGUUGUCAUGUGAUAAUCCUUGCGUUCCUGCAGUAGCGUCUCUCUCCGCCUGCUUACCCUCUCGAAGAUUCGACGAUCGCUUGUGACCGGUUUCUCCAAUAUGGCCUCGGGUCCUUUCUUGCGUAGCAACGCCGCUAUAUGUUUGAGUAGAAUCUAAAUUUCUUUUUUAGCCAGGCUAACUCCUUUUCGGUGAGCUCUUUCUUUUUUCGGUACAAUUCAGCCUCUUUCUGAAUUGCAAUUGGGUUCGCACAACUCGUCAACGCUCGCCGCGCCAGCAACAUCUCCUGUUGCCACGUCCUCGGUUUUCGACUGUUCGUCGGUGCUCUUUCCUCGCGACACCAUCUUUCACUCUGUAGUAUCGGGAUGCGCAGUUUGCAAACGAAGUAACAGUUCUGCCUUCGUUCCUGCUGUAGACAGCUUUCUCUUUUUUAGCAGAUCCCUUAGUUCCACGACGCCAAACUCACUUAAUGGCUUCAUCUCCAUCUUAACAUGACACUUGCUAUCGCGAGGUUAGGAGAUUCGUUUGCUUCUUUUCGAAAUGUUUUUUCACUCGCGUUGUUUGCCGUAAGCCCGAACGAGCCCCUAAUUGUUGGGAUUAAUGUUUGAGAGGAAACUAACGAUACGUCUUCUUGUAGUUUUAAUCAUAUAAUUAUCAAACAAUAGAUUCGUGGUCCGCGACUUACAAUGUUUCGUCCCCGACUGACUCGCUCGCUGCUGCGCACGCCGCACUUACCGCCGCGCGCCCCACACACACACACACACGCACGCACGCACGCACGCACGCACGCACGCACGCACGCACGCACGCACGCACGCACGCACGCACGCACGCACGCACGCACGCACGCACGCACGCACGCACGCACGCACGCACACAUACACUGUACCGCUUUCAAACUCCUCACAAUCAUCAAACAACACAUCUCAGAUAUUCGACAAUCCACUAAAAAUUUUAUCAGUCAGUGUUUAAUGCAAUUUACAUAGUAAUCCAAUGUAAUAUCACCAGAGCAAACCUCAUCAGUCUCUUAUCCAUCAUCAUCUUCACAUUCCAUUAUAAAUUAUAACCAAUCAUUUGGAUCCACUUUCAAUUUGAAUGAAUCAAAUAUAAUUUAUCAUAAAAAUGAUCAAAGAUUAUAUCAUGUUUUUUAAUAUAUGUUUAAAUUUUAUGAUAAGAUUAUGUUCUAAAAAUUAUAUUCUAAAUGUUAUGUUUUAAAUAUGAUAAAUUAAAUAAAAAAUAAAUUUAUAAUAAAAAAAUAUUUUGUCAACAUAACUACUUAUUUAUCUAGUCCGCUUUAUAAAAAUGAGAUGUUAUCAUUGUAUUGUUGCCAUUUUUCCGCGAUGCUGGUUGAUUGGUUCUUUUGCUGCACUUACUUCGUGUUGCGAAAGUAACUGGCACUGUGAUUGAAUUUUGACAACUGUCAAAUUUGUAUAGAUAGUUAUCUAUACAAUUAUCGUUGUAGUUUAUUUUUAAAAAGUAAAAAAUAAAAAGUCAAAUAGCGUGCGCAAAGCGCGCGUCUGUGGUGUAUAGUAUUCUAUAAAACCACUAUGUAAUUCUGUUAACACACAUAAUAAUUCUUUUUUUUUUCGGGAAGGAGAAAGGGGUAAAAAUGCAGUUGCGUUUACUAUUUUUAUUUACGUGUUUGUUGAAUAAAAUUAUUAUAUUUGUAAACUAUACUAAUUGUACACAAUUGUCGAGUACAAUUAUAUUGGCUCGGAAAAUUCUUAUUAUUUUAUUAUUAUUUCUUUCUUAUAAAUGUAGUAAUUUUCAUUUUAACAGCAUAUGAGUAAAAAUAUACGCAAGACUAUAUUUUUGGGUUUUUCUCCUUUCCAAAAAAUGAAAGAAUAAUUAAUGUGUUAACAAAAUUGAACAUAGAGAGCAUUUAGUAAUUUGCACGGCCAAUAGCACACGGAGCAUAUUGAGCAUAUGUAUCAUAAAAUUCUGGACUAGAAAGUAGCAUUUUAAGCACUUACAAAUGCUCUAAAAUCGUACUUCUUCAAAAAGCAAUUCCUAGAGCACUAGUUUUCUUAAUAAAUGCUCCAAAUGCUACGCUCACUAAUUGAGCAUUUAUAUGACAUAGAUUUUUGCCUCGGGUAUAUACAACGUUUCGAUCUUAAGAUUAGGUCCUUUUCAAGUACAAAUAUUCAAAGAAUUCAAAUUAUAAAAAAUUCAGGAAAGCGUACAAAUUCAUAAGUUCGUAUCAGCAAAAUCAUUGCGUUUCCUUCGUUAUAAGCAUUUGAUGUAAUGCAUGCGGCAGUUUUUUGAGCCGUAAUGUUCGUCGGACAUAAAUGAUAAUUAGAUGUUAAAUACGCGUCUAUACACUAACGCAGUCGAAUUUGAACAGCUAUAAAAACCUAUUAAUUUAAUUUUGUAUUUACCUUGUUUUUCUUAAAAAAAAUUCUUAAUCACGUAAUUUUUUAGGCUUUAAGGCUGCCUAACUCCUUAAGCGAUAUAAUUAGUAUAAUCUUCUUUUGCAAGUUGUAUAGAUUAAACAAUAAUGAGAAUUAUUAAUAUUAAAUUAUUUUGCUUGUUUGUAACUUCUUAAAAUUGUUUUAUUCAUAUUUUUCUCAAAAUGCGGUAUAAAGUGUAGAAUCUUCGUGAGUAAUUAUUCAGUUUAGUCAAGGUUAUCGGAGCUGAAUAAUUAUUUUUGGAUAUGUUGAAAUACAAGCAAAAAUAAGAGACAUGUAUUUUUUAAGUGCAUUCUCGCACGUCAAAGGGAGUUAAAGGGAAACACCCUCUUUAAAAAAUCACUUAAUUUCUUUUGAAACAAAUAUCAUCAAAA